ACCGUUGCUUCAGAAUCUACAUUCAGUACUGGCGGUAGACAUGUGGGUUCACACCGAGCAAGACUUCAUCCUUCUACAUUAGAAGCAUUGAUAUGCACUCAAAAUUGGUUGGUAAAUGACAAAAAAGAAGCGACUCCACUAGUCACCAUGAAUGAUGAAGAUAAUGAUGUAGAUCCAACUAUGGAGCCAUACAUAGUUGAUCUUGAUGAUUAAGGUAGCAGGUCAAUAAAGAAGAUCUUGA
Molecule: long non-coding RNA, 241 nt
Organism: Humulus lupulus (European hop)
Lineage: Eukaryota; Viridiplantae; Streptophyta; Magnoliopsida; Rosales; Cannabaceae
Exons: 3
Source: RefSeq, a predicted model, not a curated record